RNAcentral lists this ribosomal RNA (612 nucleotides) under Cicindela (Rivacindela) sp. JP-12a. RNAcentral describes it as "partial 16S ribosomal RNA". It matches the Rfam family "Bacterial large subunit ribosomal RNA", at positions 1844 to 2739 of the family's 2925-position model. Lineage: Eukaryota; Metazoa; Arthropoda; Insecta; Coleoptera; Carabidae. The record is from RNAcentral.
UUUAAGGUCUAACCUGCCCAAUGAGGAUUUAAAUGGCCGCAGUAUUUUGACUGUGCAAAGGUAGCAUAAUUAUUAGUUUUUUAAUUGAAAGCUUGUAUGAAGGGUUGGACGAGAUAAGAUCUGUCUUUAUUUAAAUUAAAAUAUAAUUUAACUUUUAAGUAAAAAGGCUUAAAUGUUUAUAAAAGACGAGAAGACCCUAUAGAUCUUUAUUUAGUUGAGAUUUUAAUAAUUUAGGAUUAUUUUAAUUUAAAGUUUUAAUUAAAUUUUAUUGGGGUAAUAUAAAGAUUAAAUAAAUUCUUUUUAUUUAUAACAUUGAUUUAUGAAUAUAUGAUCCAUUAAUAUUGAUUAUAAGAUUAAGUUACCUUAGGGAUAACAGCGUAAUUUUUUUGGAGAGCUCAUAUCGAUAAAAAAGUUUGCGACCUCGAUGUUGGAUUAAAAAUUAGCUUGGGUGCAGGAGCUCAAGAUUUUGGUCUGUUCGACCAUUAAAUUUUUACAUGAUCUGAGUUCAGACCGGCGUAAGCCAGGUCGGUUUCUAUCUUUAUUAAGAUAAAAUGUUUUAGUACGAAAGGACCAGGCAUUUAAUAUAAUUAUAUUUAUUUUUUGAAGAAUAUU